UUUCACCCUCAGAUACAGAUACAUACGCCACCGCAUUUGAUGUUCCUCUUCUUUUCUUAGGGUUUUUUUUUUGUUUGUUUGUUUUGUUUUAAAUAAAAUUCUUUCUACGUUACAGUUCGAAUUCAGCUUCUUUUCCACUUCCUAGCAAUGGCGAACAACAAGAAGAAGACGACGAACUCACCCAAAUUAGAGCAAAUUGAUAAUCUACCAUACUACUAUUCUCAAAAGCCCAGAAGCUCACAACCCAAACGCCGCUCCGACUUCUCCUCCUUCUUCUAUUCCGCUCCUCUCUACAAUUCAGGUUCCUUACCGGGGUCAUCCUGUGGUGAAGUUGGAUUGUCCAAUGUCACCAUGAAUAGCUUGAACGACAGAAAUGCUGAAGGAGAACAGUUGCCUGAGCAUCCUCUGGUUCAAUGCUGCAAGUUCCAGGAUAAAGAACUACGAUUCUCCUCGGAUUUCUCUGAAACCCUGACCGUAGAAGUUGAAACAGUAGCACAGAAUGAACUUUUUGACACCUUGAGUGAAAGAAACGUUGGUGAACAAACAAGUGAUACUGCUAGGUCGGUAGAAUGCACUCCUUCGCAUGCUACAGAAACCAAUGGUUUUUGCAUAACACCCGGAAGUGUUGUGUGGGCUAGAACUGCUAGUCACAUGUGGUGGCCUGCUAAGAUCACGGAUCGAAGAUACAAUUCAGCUGACACAAGGAACCAAGAUACUGGUGGACGUGUUCUAGUAGAAUUUUAUGGAAGCAAUGACAUGAUUUUCAUGAUCUGUUUGUCUUAUGAUCCGAGUAUUGUGAUACCCAGCGCUUGGCUUGAUCCUACCAGAGAUCUUUCCCAACUUGAGGAUUGCUUUGAAGAAAGGAGCUGUAACCCUAUGGAAGAUUUUCAAGACGCUUUAAAACAAGCCUUACAAGGGAAGGAAUGCUUAAGUUCAUGUGGAGAGUUGUUUAAGAGCCCUGAUGAUCUUAAUGACUCAGAUCAGCAAUAUCAUUCAUCUCGAGAUCAUCGGCUGGGAAGCUAUGUUGUACUACUCCCUUUGUGUCUUCCUUCCAGUUUUAAUUUUGCUUCUGGGUCAAACAGAAAAAUGGACUUCAUCAAUUUCAUGCAGAGCAGAGGAUGAUUUCCUUGAAAGAGGGAGGGGCAAGAGGGAGCGAAAGCGUAAACUACACUUUGAUGAAGUGACAUUUCCACUGAUGUCAGCCAAGAAAGUUCGGCGGUUCAGGAUAAUGAGGUACCUUGGCCUUAGCGCUCCAAUUGGUUCUCCUUUUUUUAUCAACUAACAACACCACACACUCCUACCCACACCCCCCCCCCCCCCCCCCCCCCCCCCCCCCCCCCCGGCGCGGCCAACAACAAUAAGUAGCUUUGGCAGUAUUUGAUCUACCUUCUCACUCACUCACUCGGCACUGUAGUUUUUGUUGCGAGGUUCAUAAGGUCUCUUAUUUAAUAACGUUCAUUUGUAAAGAAAAUCUUAUCAUUUGAAUGAUAUAACUAUCUAAUCUUUAUUAUAGGGA
Molecule: RNA transcript, 1516 nt
Organism: Carya illinoinensis
Lineage: Eukaryota; Viridiplantae; Streptophyta; Magnoliopsida; Fagales; Juglandaceae
Exons: 9
Source: RefSeq, a predicted model, not a curated record